Non-coding RNA from Salmo salar (Atlantic salmon), 1113 nucleotides. The record is from RefSeq and is a predicted model, not a curated record. NCBI's taxonomy places the organism in Eukaryota, Metazoa, Chordata, Actinopteri, Salmoniformes, Salmonidae.
GCAACACCAAGCGACUACCACAUUAUUUCAAGUUUAUUUGGAGUCAGUGUCUCCACUGUUUGCAUCAUUCUAAGACAGGAGACUGCAGCUGUCGUGAAGACAAGUACAACCGUUUUAUUUCGCUACCUGGUGGUAAAGGCAUCCUAGCCACCAUCUGUGGGUUCAAGCAGCUUGGGUAUCCACAAUGUGCUGGUGACAUCGGCGAGACACACAUCCCCAUCACUGCCCCAAAAGAAUAUCCAAAGGACUACUUGAACAGCAAAGGGCAGCAUUAUCCUGUGUUGCAGGCUGUUGCUGAUCACAACCUCUGAGUUCAGCGAUUGUCAUUGGUAUAGAGAUACCAGUUAAUCUGGUAGGAGACCCAGCCUACCCACUGAAGAGGUGGUUAAUGACAGGCUUUUCCCAGGACACAUCUCUGAAUAACCACCAGCAGAAGUUUAAUGACCACCUGAGUUCUGCCAGGGUGGCUAUUGACGACGUCUUAGGACGCUUGAAGGGAUGCUAGAGAUGUUUGGUAAAGUGCAUCAACGUUGACGACAGACACUAACGGCAUGUUGCAUACUGCACAAUGUGUGCGAACUGAAGAAAGAACAGUUUCUGGCAUGAAAGAAACAUUGGCCAAGAUCAGUUGAAGAAAGAACCGUUUCUGGCUGAAUGGAACUGGAUCAUCAGCAGACAGAGGCUUAGCUCACAGAGCAAGAUCAUAGUUUACUACAAGGGCCAGUGGUGGAAAGUGUUGCUACCGUACGGGAUGCCAUUAUGACCUCUUUACAGGACACCAUCAUAACCGUGCACGGAUGUUUUAGCUUUGUGGUGCAAGUUGUUUGUGAUUAUUGUUAAAUACCGCGGUGCUCAAGUUGUGGCUAUGCCAACAAAGAACAUUUCGUAACAACGUUGUGAAUUUGCAGUGCAACACUUUUUAAAUAUUUUUUUGCCUGAAUGCUAUUUACUUUUGCACAGUAUGUUUUCAAGAUGUUUGUGAAUUAUGUUAGACUUUGUAUUUGUACGAUUUUUUUUUGUUACGUGAACGUUAUGUUACAUUACUUUGUACUUUUAAGAUUUAUGUGAAUGCUUUGUUCUUGGAAGAGAUCCUCAAUAAAUGUGUUUUAUGAA